UACGUAGGGUGCGAGCGUUAAUCGGAAUUACUGGGCGUAAAGUGUGCGCAGGCGGCCGCGCAAGUCGAGUGUGAAAGCCCCGGGCUUAACUUGGGAAUUGCGCUCGAAACUACGUGGCUAGAGUGUGGCAGAGGGAGGUGGAAUUCCACGUGUAGCGGUGAAAUGCGUAGAUAUCCGGAGGAACACCGGUGGCGAAGGCGGCUUCCUGGACCGAUACUGACGCUGAGGCGCGAAAGCGUGGGGAGCAAACAGG
This 253-nucleotide ribosomal RNA is filed under the name uncultured bacterium. RNAcentral's name for it is "partial 16S ribosomal RNA". It matches the Rfam family "Bacterial small subunit ribosomal RNA", at positions 524 to 776 of the family's 1533-position model. The record is from RNAcentral.